Molecule: ribosomal RNA, 423 nt
Filed under: uncultured bacterium
Lineage: Bacteria
Description: partial 16S ribosomal RNA
Rfam family: Bacterial small subunit ribosomal RNA
Source: RNAcentral
AAUAUUGGACAAUGGGGGGAACCCUGACCCAGCCAUGCCGCGUGUGUGAAGAAGGCCUUCUGGUUGUAAAGCACUUUAAGCGAGGAGGUGUCUUACCUGGUUAAUACCUGUGAUAAGUGGACGUUACUCGCAGAAUAAGCACCGUCUACCUCUGUGACAGCAGCCGCGGUAAUACAGAGGUCUCUAGCGUUAAUCGGAUUUACUGGGCGUAAAGCGCGCGUAGGUGGCUAAUUAAGUCAAAUGUGAAAUCCCCGAGCUUAACUUGGGAAUUGCAUUCGAUACUGGUUAGCUAGAGUAUGGGAGAGGAUGGUAGAAUUCCAGGUGUAGCGGUGAAAUGCGUAGAGAUCUGGAGGAAUACCGAUGGCGAAGGCAGCCAUCUGGCCUAAUACUGACACUGAGGUGCGAAAGCAUGGGGAGCAAACA